RNAcentral lists this ribosomal RNA (1975 nucleotides) under human gut metagenome. Its description in RNAcentral is "bacterial LSU rRNA". It matches the Rfam family "Bacterial large subunit ribosomal RNA", at positions 1 to 1990 of the family's 2925-position model. The record is from RNAcentral.
GUAAAUAAUUAAGGGCGUAUGGUGGAUGCCUAGGCUCUCAGAGGCGAUGAAGGACGUGAUAAGCUGCGAAAAGCUCCGUUUAGGUGCAAAUAACCUUUGAUGCGGAGAUCUCCGAAUGGGAUAACCCAAUAUGUUGAAGACAUAUUAUACCGUAAGGUAGGCAAACGCAGGGAACUGAAACAUCUAAGUACCUGCAGGAGAAGAAAACAAAAGUGAUUCCCCCAGUAGCGGCGAGCGACCGGGGAUAAGCCCAAACCGUUAUUGUUUCGGCAGUAGCGGGGUAGUAGGACUGCGACAUUGAUGAAAUAAAUGAAAUGGAACACUUUGGAAAAUGUGAUCACAGAGGGUGAUAAUCCCGUACAUGCAAGUUUAUGAAUCAUAGCAGUAUCCUGAGUAAGUCGGGACACGUGUAAUCCUGACCGAAUCCGCCGGGACCAUCCGGCAAGGCUAAAUACUCCUGAGAGACCGAUAGUGAACCAGUACCGUGAGGGAAAGGUGAAAAGCACUUCGAACAGAAGAGUGAAAUAGUCCCUGAACCCAUACGCCUACAAGCUGUCGGAGCCGCUUCGUGCGGUGACGGCGUGCCUUUUGCAUAAUGAGCCUACGAGUUACUCAUCACCAGCGAGGUUAAGUACUUCAGGUACGUAAGCCGAAGCGAAAGCGAGUCUGAAUAGGGCGUCAAGUUGGUGGUGGUAGACGCGAAACCUUAGUGAUCUACCCAUGGGCAGGGUGAAGGUUUGGUAACACAAACUGGAGGCCCGAACCGGUAAACGUUGAAAAGUUUUCGGAUGACCUGUGGGUAGGGGUGAAAGGCCAAUCAAACUGGGAAAUAGCUCGUACUCUCCGAAAUGCAUUUAGGUGCAGCCUCUGUUGUUUUGUUCUAGAGGUAGAGCUACUGAUUGGAUGCGAGGGCUUCACCGCCUAUCAAAUCCGGCCAAACUCCGAAUGCUAGAACAUGAAGACAGGGAGUGAGCCAGCGGGUGCUAAGGUCCGUUGACGAAAGAGGGAGAACUCAGACCAUCAGCUAAGGUCCCCAAUUGUAUGCUAAGUUGGAAUUAAAACGGGGUGGGACUGCUUAGACAGCUAGGAUGUUGGCUUGGAAGCAGCCAUUCAUUUAAAGAGUGCGUAACAGCUCACUAGUCGAGCGGUCCUGCAUGGAUAAUACGCGGGCAUAAGCAUAUAACCGAAGCUAUGGGAUUGUAGAUGAUACAAUCGGUAGGAGAGCAUUCCAUUCAGCAUAGAAGCAGUACCGUGAGGUAUUGUGGAGCGGAUGGAAAAGCAAAUGUAGGCAUAAGUAACGAUAAUGCGGGUGAGAACCCCGCACGCCGAAAGAUCAAGGAUUCCCCGGCAAUGUCAAUCAUCCGGGGGUAAGUCGGAUCCUAAGGGUAAGCCGAGUGGCGAUCCCGAUGGCAAACAGGUUAAUAUUCCUGUACUGAUCAUAACUGCGAUGCAGCGACGCAGAGGUGACACUGCUGCGUACUGACGGAAUAGUACGUUGAAACCCGUAUUCUUUGAUACCGGUAGUGAAGCACGCCGGUAGAGAUGAAAGGUGAUAGUACCGCAAUGCUUCGGUUGCGCGGAUAACGCAGGUAAGCUGACUGCCAAGAAAACCUGCUAAGCUUCAGGUAAUGAUCAUCCGUACUGUAAACGGACACACGUGAUCAGGUAGAAAAUACUAAGGCGCUCGAGAGAUUCAUGGUUAAGGAACUAGGCAAAAUGGUCCUGUAACUUCGGGAUAAAGGACGCUCUUGUGAAAGAGCCGCAGAUAAUAGGCCCAGGCGACUGUUUACCAAAAACACAUGGCUAUGCUAAUUCGCAAGAAGAUGUAUAUGGCCUGACACCUGCCCGGUGCCGGAAGGUUAAGAGGAGAGCUCAGAGGUAACUCGAAGGUUUGAAUUGAAGCCCCGGUAAACGGCGGCCGUAACUAUAACGGUCCUAAGGUAGCGAAAUUCCUUGUCGGGUAAGUUCCGACCUG